RNAcentral lists this ribosomal RNA (301 nucleotides) under uncultured bacterium. RNAcentral describes it as "partial 16S ribosomal RNA". It matches the Rfam family "Bacterial small subunit ribosomal RNA", at positions 509 to 807 of the family's 1533-position model. The record is from RNAcentral.
CAGUCGCCGCGGUAAUGCGGAGGGAGCUAGCGUUAUUCGGAAUUACUGGGCGUAAAGCGCACGUAGGCGGCUUUGUAAGUUAGAGGUGAAAGCCUGGAGCUCAACUCCAGAAUUGCCUUUAAGACUGCAUCGCUUGAAUCCAGGAGAGGUGAGUGGGAUUCCGAGUGUAGAGGUGAAAUUCGUAGAUAUUCGGAAGAACACCAGUGGCGAAGGCGGCUCACUGGACUGGUAUUGACGCUGAGGUGCGAAAGCGUGGGGAGCAAACAGGAUUAGAUACCCGCGUAGUCCCUGUCUCUUAUAC